AGGAGUCUCUGUACAUCACCGGUUAGAGAAUUGACUCUAAGUUGAAUCUCUAAUGCGAGGAAAUGAACCAUCUGACCGGAGCUAUGUCUUUUGCAUGAGGAACCACCCCAGUGAACCUAAAUUUCCAAGGAAUGCUUUUCUUCUUAAAUUAUUCCAAACUUCUGUUAAGAUAGUUAGUUUAAGUCUCAACAUUUGCAAAUCAAAGUUUGUGUUUUAUUCCUUAAGCUAACCGUGAAAUGAAACAAGACCAAUUCACUUGGAAUUGGUAUCCUUGAUUGCUUGUUCAUCAUUCCCAGUGAACGAUCCUAGAGCCACUAUACUAUAGUAGCUUUGUAUUUCCUACCCUAGUGUAUGGUGUUAUAGGUAUAAAUUUUGUUGAUCACUUCCUCAAUCAAGGAGCACCAGUUGAACACGAAUCAGCUGAGACACCAAUUGGGCAUGAAUCAGGAGGAUGAGAUGUAUUAGCAGCUUCAUCAUUCAAUAAUUCAUUAAAGUUAGGAUCUGGUUUUUAACCCCCUCAUUGAUCGUGUUCUCAUUGAUCUCCAAGUCUUACAUUUUCUUGUGUACACCUCCCAUUGAAAAUUUCCAACGCAUUAAGCCUUUUUUCCACAAAUUUAGGUAUUUGGGGCCAUUUCCUUACAUUUUUUCCUACAACUAACUCAGCUUCAUGUCCCAAACUUAGGUGUUUAUUAAGCUCACGUGCAACAUUGAGACAACUCAAGCUUCUUUAAGUUGCUAAGUUAGCCUUACCCCAAGCUUAGCUCAUGAUGCUAAGCGAAGCUACUUGACUUUGAAGCUAAGAUACACAAAGGAAGCAACACUUGAAGAAUUGAAGCUUAUAUUGCACUAGAACACUUCACAAUUCUUGAAAGCUUUCAAGUGCUUAGUGCCUUGGCCAAAUGAGGUCAUUAAUUCUUUAGUUAUAGACACCCGAAAAACUCUCUAAAACCCUUAAAGGUUCCCCACUAGUCUAGAAUUAUCUAGUUGCCUACACAAAUUCUAUGUAUAAGGUAUGUUCAAGAGAUUUCUAGAACUGUCUAGAAAUCUCCAUCUUACUCCAUCCUUUCCCAUUCGUUUAUGGAGAUGUGUGGAUGCCUCUAGGAGUUUCUUUCAAAGCUUUUAUACUAGCUGCAUCAUGUAGUAGUAUAAAUUCUGGGUUUAACCAUUCUUCUUUUGGAAGAAUAUCAAUAAUAGACCAAAAAUCAAAAUUUUCUUGGUCUUGAUUAAAAAGAAGGGGUUGAAGAAAUGGAUCUUCAAUUCUUCCUAGAAAGUCUUCAUUUUCUUCAUUUUCCGAAUCUAAAUUUGUAGCAUCUAAAUAAUUCAAAAAUAGGGUUCCACAAUGCUCUAGAUGUAACUCUGACUGUGAGUGGAGUAGUGUAAUGGGUGUGACACAAACUUUUUUGAAGCUUGUUAUGAAAUCUCUAGUAAUUAUCAUACCUCUAUUUGGGUAGGAAUGAAUGUGGAUCCAAGAAUGAACUUAUGUGCAUGUUGAAUAUGUGAUAUCCAUGUUUGUGGUAGGACAUACCAUACUCCCUUAUAUAAGCUCAAGUGAGGGAUCAUUUUGAGUAGUUUGUGACACUCCUCCCACUAAUGCUACAAAUGUUUCGUCGUUCCUUCUACUCGGAAUUGUUCUAUCUAUUCUUGGAACUACCGCAAUACUUCUAUAGUCUCCCAGCUAGCCACAUUUUCUAGUAGUCUCUUUCACCUGACUAAAUACUCCAUUGAAGAAGGUACACCUCGUCUCAUUAUCACUUGUGCUGCUAAGAUGUAUUCUACUUUCCUAUCAUACAAGGUUACAAUAGUUGUAGGCACCCUCUUUAAUAUUCCAUGAGUUGGAUCAUCUUUGUCUUCGUGAUAAGGCUUCAAGUAGCUUGGAUGAAGAUAGGAUGGAUCUUCAACCUUGGAGGUAACUCCAUUCAUAGGGACAACUUGUCUACUCUCCCAAGCACAAGGAAGAGGCCUUCAUAUUACAAGACCUUUGUGUGUUGGCCUUAGGGUAUUGAAUUAUUAAGUAAAUACCUUGACAAGCACCAAGUCUCCAACUUGAUACGCAAUGUGUCACCUCUUCUUGUCAACCCACCUUUUCAUAUUCUUAGUGGUCUUGUCUAAGUAUAAGCAAGCUAUGUCAGCUUUUUCCUACCACCCUGAUUACUACUCAAAAAGUGCUAUUUGAUAGCCUUUAAUUAAUCCUUUUUAACACUUUUGAGUAGUAGUUUAGGCCUUUUUACUCAAUUGGCAUGUUAAGGAUCCUUUAAAGCAAUUUUGAUCACUUUGUGUAAGUUUUGGUGUUUUUGUUAGUAUAUUGAUCACCAAAGCAAGUCAAGAAUGAGGAGAGCUAUGAGGAAUCUUGGGCAAAGCUUAGAAUUCAAUUGCCAAGAGUGAAUCCGGAUUGCAAGGAGAAAAAGCAAAGAGAAUCUGCCAUGA
Molecule: long non-coding RNA, 2424 nt
Filed under: Vitis vinifera (wine grape)
Lineage: Eukaryota; Viridiplantae; Streptophyta; Magnoliopsida; Vitales; Vitaceae
Description: long non-coding RNA (VVIN_LNC007609)
Source: RNAcentral